Long non-coding RNA from Alosa sapidissima (American shad), 145 nucleotides. RefSeq lists it as uncharacterized. Lineage: Eukaryota; Metazoa; Chordata; Actinopteri; Clupeiformes; Clupeidae. The record is from RefSeq and is a predicted model, not a curated record. The transcript has 3 exons.
UCCUAUGCAGUGGGAAACUGAUCAGUAUUUAUACCAGAUAUGAGUCUCUAUAGUACAGUCAUGGUGACCCUCAAUAUUUACAUCAGUCUACAUUCUUUUGUAGCCUUAUUCAAUCAAAUGUUUAAAAAAAAAUUAAAUAAUUGUU